AUGAUUUGGAAACAUAGAGUGUCAUUUAAAUUGUAUUUAAUAUAUUUAUACUUUGCAUCUCCCAAAUUUGCAGUUUUACUUGUGGAGGGAAUUUGGGCCAAUCUAAUGUGCACUGUGUCAGUGUACCAGAAUCAGUCUGUUGCUUAUAUCAUCUCUGGACCUCCACCAGCACCUGGCUGCUUACCCGAAUGGACCGCUGCUAAUAUCAUGCUGGUUGAUGAGAAGGGGAAUAUUUACCAUCAAGUGGUCUUGCAUGCUGAACCACAAAGGAUUCUCACCAAAGGCUGUCAACAUGAUGUUGCAUACCGUCUAGAAUGUUUGGCACUUAGGGUAGGUGAUUGAUUAAUUGAUGACUUACGUAACUACAGGCAAAACAGGCUGAAUGUGGUAAGAUAUGCUGUUAGUGCUAGCUUAUUUGAUGCAUAUACUAAUUCCACAUGGCAAUAUCUGAAGAACUUUUCAGUCUAAACUCCUAACUUUUGAUGUCUAAAUGUACCAAAUUGUCCGUCAUAGGAGUUCUUGGUGGUCAACUGUAAUUGUAAGUAGUACUGCUUCCUUUUUUGAUCUACAUUGGCUUUGAGUUAUUUUUAGCACUACUUUCUGAGUACUUGCUAAAUUAAUAAUGUUAUUUCAUUUAAUGACAUUUUUAGUGUAUGUAAAAUGUGCAAGAACUUUUUUCCCCAGAUAAGUGUCCAACUGUACCUGUUGCAAUGGUCGCAGAAGGUGAGAGGCUUGUGUGAAUUUUUUUUUCUUUUAUUCAUUCAUUUUCUUGAACACUGUCGCUUACACAUACAUGCAUACAUUCAUAGACUCAGCUGUGGCGAUGCUCCCAGGUGCAGGCAGAACUCAUGUUAUGACGUAUGCUGUCAUUGGUAUUGCUGUGCUACUUGGCUUUGUUAUCAUGACAGUCAUUUACUAGUACAGACAUCUAAGGUAUCAAUCAUGACUUUACAUGGCCUUCUUUUUAGUCAGACUAAAUGUUGACUGUUUUUCUUUUCUUUUUUUUUUUCAGGGAAUCAGGUGCUGUUUAAAAACAAAUUGAUUUACUUUGUAGGACAGAGAAUCUACAGACACUUCAGCCAGUGCUGACAGUAUCUCACUACUGGUGUGUUGGACUCUUUUGAUCCUUCAGAAAUAAGUUUCCUCAUUUUCUGCCAUGGGUGCUAAAAUGAACAAGGGAGUGGUACAUAAUACACAAAUCUGGCCUGGAGGAAAGGAGGGAUGUGACAGUUUGGAGCCAUCUAUGUUCCCACAACAGACAAUCUGUAACUUGUAGCUACCCUAUUUGUAGCUAUCCUACAAAUACAUUUACAUAUUUUUGUGCUUAAUAAAAAUACUUUGCCAUUGUACUUGUGGUAUACU
Cyprinus carpio (common carp) is the source of this 1362-nucleotide long non-coding RNA. NCBI's taxonomy places the organism in Eukaryota, Metazoa, Chordata, Actinopteri, Cypriniformes, Cyprinidae. The record is from Ensembl.